CCUACGGGAGGCAGCAGUGGGGAAUAUUGCACAAUGGGGGAAACCCUGAUGCAGCGACGCCGCGUGAGUGAAGAAGUAAUUCGUUAUGUAAAGCUCUAUCAGCAGGGAAGAAAAUGACGGUACCUGAGUAAGAAGCCCCGGCUAACUACGUUCCAGCAGCCGCGGUAAUACGUAGGGGGCAAGCGUUAUCCGGAUUUACUGGGUGUAAAGGGAGCGUAGACGGCAGUGCAAGUCUGGAGUGAAAGGCGGGGGCUCAACCCCCGGACUGCUCUGGAAACUGUACGGCUGGAGUGCAGGAGAGGUAAGUGGAAUUCCUAGUGUAGCGGUGAAAUGCGGAGAUAUUAGGAGGAACACCAGUGGCGAAGGCGGCUUACUGGACUGUAACUGACGUUGAGGCUCGAAAGCGUGGGGAGCAAACAGGAUUAGAUACCCCAGUAGUC
This 440-nucleotide ribosomal RNA is filed under the name uncultured bacterium. RNAcentral describes it as "partial 16S ribosomal RNA". It matches the Rfam family "Bacterial small subunit ribosomal RNA", at positions 338 to 795 of the family's 1533-position model. The record is from RNAcentral.